This 1223-nucleotide ribosomal RNA is filed under the name gut metagenome. RNAcentral describes it as "bacterial SSU rRNA". It matches the Rfam family "Bacterial small subunit ribosomal RNA", at positions 8 to 1233 of the family's 1533-position model. The record is from RNAcentral.
AGAGUUUGAUCCUGGCUCAGGACGAACGCUGGCGGCGUGCUUAACACAUGCAAGUCGAACGGAGCACCCUUGAUUGAGGUUUCGGCCAAAUGAUAGGAAUGCUUAGUGGCGGACUGGUGAGUAACGCGUGAGGAACCUGCCUUUCAGAGGGGGACAACAGUUGGAAACGACUGCUAAUACCGCAUGACGCAUUUUGAUCGCAUGGUCGAAAUGCCAAAGAUUUAUCGCUGAAAGAUGGCCUCGCGUCUGAUUAGAUAGUUGGCGGGGUAACGGCCCACCAAGUCGACGAUCAGUAGCCGGACUGAGAGGUUGACCGGCCACAUUGGGACUGAGAUACGGCCCAGACUCCUACGGGAGGCAGCAGUGGGGAAUAUUGGGCAAUGGGCGCAAGCCUGACCCAGCAACGCCGCGUGAAGGAAGAAGGCUUUCGGGUUGUAAACUUCUUUUAAGUGGGAAGAGUAGAAGACGGUACCACUUGAAUAAGCCACGGCUAACUACGUGCCAGCAGCCGCGGUAAUACGUAGGUGGCAAGCGUUGUCCGGAUUUACUGGGUGUAAAGGGCGUGCAGCCGGGCAUGCAAGUCAGAUGUGAAAUCUCAGGGCUUAACCCUGAAACUGCAUUUGAAACUGUAUGUCUUGAGUGCCGGAGAGGUAAUCGGAAUUCCUUGUGUAGCGGUGAAAUGCGUAGAUAUAAGGAAGAACACCAGUGGCGAAGGCGGAUUACUGGACGGUAACUGACGGUGAGGCGCGAAAGCGUGGGGAGCGAACAGGAUUAGAUACCCUGGUAGUCCACGCUGUAAACGAUGGAUACUAGGUGUGCGGGGACUGACCCCCUGCGUGCCGCAGUUAACACAAUAAGUAUCCCACCUGGGGAGUACGAUCGCAAGGUUGAAACUCAAAGGAAUUGACGGGGGCCCGCACAAGCGGUGGAUUAUGUGGUUUAAUUCGAAGCAACGCGAAGAACCUUACCAGGUCUUGACAUCCUGCUAACGAAGUAGAGAUACAUUAGGUGCCCUUCGGGGAAAGCAGAGACAGGUGGUGCAUGGUUGUCGUCAGCUCGUGUCGUGAGAUGUUGGGUUAAGUCCCGCAACGAGCGCAACCCCUAUUGUUAGUUGCUACGCAAGAGCACUCUAGCGAGACUGCCGUUGACAAAACGGAGGAAGGUGGGGACGACGUCAAAUCAUCAUGCCCCUUAUGACCUGGGCUACACACGUAAUACAAUGG